This is a long non-coding RNA of Trifolium pratense (red clover), 512 nucleotides long. RefSeq lists it as uncharacterized. The transcript is spliced from 5 exons. NCBI's taxonomy places the organism in Eukaryota, Viridiplantae, Streptophyta, Magnoliopsida, Fabales, Fabaceae. The record is from RefSeq and is a predicted model, not a curated record.
GGCUUACCUCAUAAUUACACUGAUGUCUCAAAUGAUCGAUCACUUCGCUCUCUUGUUGUAUGGAAACUGAAGCAAUUGCACUAUCCUAUGAGGCAAUGCCAAUCUUAUGUUGAUCAUGAUCUAUGCUAGACUCAUUAGCACAGGAAGGAGCAUACAAUGUCAAAAGGUCCUGGUGCAAGUGUUGCUUGUGUGGCUCCUAAUAUGCGUGGACUAGUAUUUUAAAGGCCCGUCUCUUGAUAAUUAGGUUGGUGGUCUGGUGUUGUUGGUCAUUUGGAAAUGGAAAUGAAAAUUCUAGCCGCUGUCAUAUGAGUGGUUGCUUGAGAAUUAGAUAUGAUGUGGAAGAGAAAUGGUUUUGCUUGAAAAAAGGUUGCUCGAGAAUUAGAUCUGAGGUGGAAGAGAAAAAUGACAUAAUUAACAUGAUUUUGCUUAAGAAAAGGUAUCCAUUUUUUCUCGAUUAUUUAGAAAGUUUAAAUCUUAUGCUGAAAGACCUUGUUUGACAUCAAUAUUUUGAA